GGGAAAGUAGCUCAAUGGUAGAGUGCUUGCCUUGUAUGCAUGAGGGCCUGGGUUCAUUUUCUCA
This 64-nucleotide transfer RNA is filed under the name Dipodomys ordii (Ord's kangaroo rat). It matches the Rfam family "tRNA", at positions 1 to 62 of the family's 71-position model. From Rfam's summary of the family: Transfer RNA (tRNA) molecules are approximately 80 nucleotides in length. Their secondary structure includes four short double-helical elements and three loops (D, anti-codon, and T loops). Further hydrogen bonds mediate the characteristic L-shaped molecular structure. tRNAs have two regions of fundamental functional importance: the anti-codon, which is responsible for specific mRNA codon recognition, and the 3' end, to which the tRNAs corresponding amino acid is attached (by aminoacyl-tRNA synthetases). tRNAs cope with the degeneracy of the genetic code in two manners: having more than one tRNA (with a specific anti-codon) for a particular amino acid; and 'wobble' base-pairing, i.e. permitting non-standard base-pairing at the 3rd anti-codon position. Lineage: Eukaryota; Metazoa; Chordata; Mammalia; Rodentia; Heteromyidae. The record is from Rfam by way of RNAcentral.